CGCGGGUAUCGCUGCGCUGCUGUUGUGGCUUCUGGUGCUGGUGCCGGCGUGGUGGGGGUAGGGUGGGUGCCGCGCUCAGAUGCGGGGGUCCCUACCUCCCCGGCCCAGGCUGCUCCCAUUGCUGGGGAACUUGCAGCUGCAGUCCGGAGGCCUGGACCGCGCGCUCCAUUCCCGACAGGAAUGGGGGAACGGAAUUCUGGAUUCGUGGAGCCAACAGGAGAAAAGAGCCUAAGAUUCAAAGUCCCAGAGCCAGCCUAGGUCAGGGAUGGAGCCCAGCAAAGGCGGGGCCAAUGUGUGGAUAGGGCACUUGGAGGUCUGGUAAGGCAGCAAAACGAACGAAGCCGGCCGCAGGAGUCGGAGGCCCCGAAAGGGAUGUAGCCAGUGACCCGGCGCUUCCUGGAUGGGGCGUGGCCGGUUCCCGGGCCCGCCUCCUUUCCCGUCCCCACCACAGGAAUCUUGUUUUCUAACCGGCCGUGCUGGUGGACACUGCGCAAUUUUGCACUUGGAGCGCCGAAGAAGUUCGGGUUGGAUACGCGGACCAUCGAGGCGCGUGUCCUGGAUGAGGCGGCUUGUCUGCUAGACGAAUUUCAAGCCACCAUUGCUUCGGCCUGGCCGGGAGAGCGGAAGGGCCUGGUGUGGGAGAGUCCCUUGCACUGCCAAGACGGGGCCACUGGAAGGUAUUUGGGUGGAAGAAAGCCAGUAAGCCCAUGGGGCUGGCUGGGGGCAGGACCACGCGUUAUGACCACCGUCCUGUUCCUACCCCCAGGAGCCCCGUUUGACCCCGUGCGGCUACUGGGUAAUGCUGUAUCCAGUGUUACCUGUUCUUGUCUUCGGGAACCGCUAUGGCUACGGGGACCCGGAGUUCCUGAGGUCCUGAACCUCCUAAGUGACAACUUCCGCAUCAUGAGUUCCAAAUGGGGCGAGGUGAGAGGGCCGGCCACAAUCUCUCCCUUGUGCGUCCAGCCUUAUGCCAAAUCCCGAGUACACAG
RNAcentral lists this long non-coding RNA (989 nucleotides) under Homo sapiens (human). Its description in RNAcentral is "HSALNT0397945". Lineage: Eukaryota; Metazoa; Chordata; Mammalia; Primates; Hominidae. The record is from RNAcentral.